Molecule: long non-coding RNA, 755 nt
Filed under: Homo sapiens (human)
Lineage: Eukaryota; Metazoa; Chordata; Mammalia; Primates; Hominidae
Description: HSALNT0344094
Source: RNAcentral
AAUCUCUCUCAUUGCAGGCUGAAGAGGACUGGCCUUUCAGUGGCCCUCGUGGAACGGUAGGAAGCUGAGCUGGACUCUCUGCCACAUCGUUCGGUUCCCACAACAGCCUGAAAUGGGGUCUUGCCUUGUUGCCCAGGCUGGAGUGCAGCAACGUGAUCAUAGUUUACUGUAGCCUGGGCUCAACUCCUGGGCUCCAGUGAUCCUCCCGCCUCAGCCUCACAAGUAGCUGGGACCAUAGGUGUGAGCCACUGUGUUUGGCUGUAAUCGUUGUUAUUGUAGGCGCAUGUGCAUGAGGACCCUCCCUUCUUAGGCUCCUGACUCUACUUUGCUUGGGUUUGAAACAAGUGACUCCAUCUUGAAAUGGACAACUGGCACAGAAUAGAGCAUUUCAAGGGCAGAUUAGAUGGCAACUUAAAAAAAAGAUGAAGCAGCAGCAGAAAAAAUGGAAGCCAUUUUGGUUAACGGGUCACAUCUUAGCAGUUGGCAGCGUAAGAAGCGGAAGGAUCCACUGGUCAGAAAUGGAGAUUGAGGAGAAGCUGAGAGCACGGAGGGCUUCAGGGGAGAGCCUGUCCUUUGGAAAAGCGGGCAAUUUGCACUCGUGGUAGAUGAGUGGGGAGGCCGCUCAGUCUCUCUGCCCCUUUGCACAUGCUGCACCCGUUUAGUUUGACGUCGUGGAGAGCUCCUCCAGGCACGGGCUGUGUGAAAGGGUUUAAAAGUUUGGGGGCAUGGCUGGGGGUCCCCGCAUGAGGGGUGCU